GGCAGCGACGACGUCCCGAUCAAGCCCCUUCAGUUGAUGGCUCAAGCGCACAACGCCUUGGCCGACGUCGGUUUCCUGUGCUGAAUUCCUAACGGAUGGCAAUCUAUCGUCCACCAACGUCCCGUACUCCUCCCCUCGUCGUGGAUCCGCAAGGAGACGCGGCGCGGGGAGGACAUCAAAGCCCCCGUCGUGUAUCGAAACCCACGCGGCCGCUCGCACGGUCGCGCCAGGGCUGUCGACCCACGACGUCGUGCUCGAUCUCUCGGAUGCGGAAAACCAAGCGGCCACGAGGCCACGGCCUCCGCUGCCCCUUAACAAGAGCGUCCCACGCUCCCUGCGGACGACUGCCGGCCGGGUCUUGGCCCGGAGCCCCA
RNAcentral lists this unclassified non-coding RNA (374 nucleotides) under Stachys burchelliana. RNAcentral's name for it is "partial contains external transcribed spacer and small subunit ribosomal RNA". The record is from RNAcentral. Lineage: Eukaryota; Viridiplantae; Streptophyta; Magnoliopsida; Lamiales; Lamiaceae.